AAAAAAACAAAGGUUUGAGGGGGGAGGGGGGAGGGGAGGUUAAUUUGCAAUCCAAAGAAGAAAUCAAAAGUCCAAAAUUAAGAUAUAAAAAUAAGAAACUCUCCAAUUAAACAAACUUCAGUCCAAGGUAAUUCUUAUUCCAAUGGAUUGAUUUGAUCAUAGACAAAAGAAAUACAAUUAUCUCUUAUUGAAUACUUAACGUAGAUUUACCAAACAGCGAGGUAAAACCCCUUACUUCCCUAUACUCAUCAAUUCGAGCCCAGCACUCUUGUUGACUCUAAUUAUUAACUGAAUUGGUAUUAAGCAAUCCUCAUCAAAUUAAUAACAGCUUUAAGAAUAGGAAGUAGUUAAGCUGAACAACAAUUUAUGAAGCAUAAAUCAUUUAAUCCAUCCUAUUGUUUCCUUAGGUUAUUAUUGAAAACUUGGAUCAUAAUCAAUAAAACUUAAUUGCUACUCAUGUUCAAUCUUACACAACAAUUACGGAUUAUGAAGAUGAACUAGCAAUUGAUCAAAUCAAACAAUCAACUAAUAGGCCUUUUUAGCAAAUCAUUCAACAGAUCGAAAACAAUUAAAUCAGAAAACAAUAGAUAUUCAAAAAGACGUAAAUUAAAUUAAGAAUCUGAUCUCACAAAUCACACAUAAGAACUUGAAUCCCUUAAACUGAAUUAAAACUUAGCCGCUCAUGGCUUACAGAAAAAUCAAGAAAUAAUGAAGAAAUCUAAAACUAUGGAUGUGAAUGGAGAAUGAAGGUGUUUUUGAUGUCAAGAGGCUGCUGAAUUGGAUGUUUGUGUCGGCUGCUGCCUCUUCUAUUUAUAAUAAAUGGUCUAGGGUUAGGUUUUUAGAGUCUCUGUCAAAAACUGCAACUGGAGCAAAAUCAGAAAACUGAUUGUCGACGAAUACACGGCCCGUGUAUCACUAUACGGCCCGUGUAUCUCUACACGGCCCAGGGUCGUGUAACUUACUGGAGCUGAAUG
Molecule: unclassified non-coding RNA, 974 nt
Filed under: Hevea brasiliensis (rubber tree)
Lineage: Eukaryota; Viridiplantae; Streptophyta; Magnoliopsida; Malpighiales; Euphorbiaceae
Source: RNAcentral